Long non-coding RNA from Homo sapiens (human), 476 nucleotides. Ensembl annotates it as testicular germ cell expressed HSF2 interacting lncRNA. Its record names the gene TESHL. NCBI's taxonomy places the organism in Eukaryota, Metazoa, Chordata, Mammalia, Primates, Hominidae. The record is from Ensembl.
GGACAAAUGGACCUGCGGUAGGAGAGAGGGACAACAGUAGGAGCAGGCAGAUCUUGCUGUUUCAACCAAAACCUCAUGCUGACCAGAGUUGAGGAACAGAAGAAGAUGGUGAAGGCCUGCAGGUAUAGGUGUUCAGCAUGUCAUCUGAAAUAUUCCCCACAGAGGCAAAAAGAAAGGAAAUUAUCUCUGAAAAGGAAUGGGAGGACAAGCAGAAAUGAAGAUGCUUGUUUUCCUAGAAACAAGCCCAGGUCAUCCAUCAUGAAGUCCAGGAAUUGUAAAUGUGAGGAAGUGCAAAGACACAACGUACACUUACAAAGGCAUAUGUGCAUUUGGAAUUCUUUAAAGGACAACAUCCUCGAGCUUCUCCUGGUAGUAUACUCUAGAUAUAACGUAGUGUUUGGGCAAUUUGGGAUCAAAUAAUUCUUACAGCUUUAUAGAAUCCCUUGUGUAAUUAAACUUGAACCUUGUAUAACUUA